AAAAAGCGGAAAUAUAUAGCAAGAACAAGAUAAAGCGAAAAACGUAUUCAUUCUAUUAACAUCCCAAAACGUAGUUGUCAUGUGGACAAAACACUAAUACAUAAAGUGUGAAAUUAAAAAGUAAGUACAAGUCUCAAGUCUUUGUUUCUCAAAUAAAACAAAUCAUAAAAAGAAGAACUAGAGGGGCUGCCGGAAUGAUAAACAUAUACCUCUCAACAUUUCUUUGACAAGCCUUACAGAUGGAAGAGAAAAAGCAAUCACACGGUAUCGAGCUCAGAACCUACACAAGUGUAGAAGCAAAGAGUGAGUACCAACAACAUGGUACCCAACAAACAAUCUAAUAAAAAAAUCAACUAGCUAGAAAUCGAUUACUCCUUUCAUCUUAACCAAAUCUCCUCAAACUACAACCUGCACAUAAGUCAGCCCAACCUAACAAGUUUACAAUACACAACUCCCAAGGCUCAAAAUCACAAUCUAACAGUCACAAUUCAACAACCAACACGUAUCAAGUAAGUCAAUCUCAAUGUCAAGUAGAUCAAUCACACGUAACAAGUACAUCAAUCACAGUUAACAAGUAAGUCAAACAUAAGCAUCAAAAUGCAUCAAAUCACAAUAAUCAAUCUCUUGCCGGAAUCAUUUCCCUUCGGCACAAUAUCACUAGCCGUAAUCAUUUUCCAUUGGGUUUAUAUUAAAUCACUAGUCGGAAUCAUUUCCCAUCAACUUUAUAUCAUUUCACUAGCCGGAACCAUUUUCCAUCGACUUUAUAUUAUUUCACUAACCGGAACCAUUUAUCAUCGGCUUUAUAUCAUUUCACUAGCCAGAACCAUUUCUCGUCUGUUUUAUAUCAUUUCACUAGCCGAAAUCAUUUUCCAUUGACUUUGUAUUAUUUCACUAGUCGGUACCAUUUCCCAUCAGCUUUAUAUCAUUUCACUAGUCAGAACCAUUUUCCAUCGGCUUUAUAUCACAUGUCUCAUCACCAUGGUGUACAACAACCAAUGCACAUAAGCAAGUUCACACCAUAAGGAAGAGAAAACAAUUCAAGUAACUCAAGUCCACAUUCAUGCUAUUAAACAUUUCAUCAAUCAAUUAAUAAGGGUCACACAAGGCAAUUCACAAGCGUUAUGAUCAACACAUAGCCUUUUCAUUUCAACCAUUUUUUAUUCGUUAAGAUUUAUCAAGUGGAACAAUUAACCUUUCACCUCAUUCCCAUUACUCCCAACACACAAUGAAGGGAAUACACAUAUUCUACUAGAAUACAAGGUUUAAGAGAUCACUUGCCUUAAUUCAACCAACUAGUCACUCCAAUACUUGAGUCUUCCCCUUCCGAUCAAUGUCCAAAGUCACACAAUCUAUAUCAAUCAAGUAUUCACAAUAAAUUUUUGGAAACAAAAAUACCCACAUCAAUUACUUGGAAAAAUGAGUCAAUCAACUCAAAAUCCGAUUCUGAAAAUAAAGUUUGAAUUUGAAAUUCUUUACUUGAAAUCGUUACCCAAGGCAUUUGGAACCCAUUGGUUAAAACCAUUUCGAAAAAAGACUUAAAAUCAGUUCACAAUAUUCAUUUUAGUUUAGAACUUGAGUUCUUGAAAAACCUUGUCAUUUGCCAAUCAAAAUAUCAAAUUUUGAUGUUAAAAUCCAUAAAUAAUCAAAGGAAAUGAAGUUAUAGGAUCAAAAAAGCUUACCCAAUGAUUUAGCACAAGAAAUCAAUUCAAAAACCGUCUCUGAGGAUUUGCCAAGCUCAAAAAUGAAAAAUGAGGCUAAAACCCCCAAAAUUUGCAGGUCAAAACCCAUCUCUGAUGUCGCUUAAGUGAACUCAGUUCACUUGAGUGAACCUCGCAAAAACUGGGUCUUGCUUUUGUGAACUAAGCUCCACUUAAGCAAUCAUCACUAAAGUGAGCCCUGGUCCGCUUAAGUGAACCCCAUGAAAGACCAGCCUUCAUUUUAGCGAUCCAGCUUUCGCUUAAGCGAAGAUCGCUAAAGCGUAAAGGUGCAUCGCAACAACGGAGGUCACAAAACUCAGGCAUCAAAAAAUUCAGCUAACUUUCAAAUCAUCGAAAGGAGUCACGAGAUUCAUUCGAAACCCCGUACACACAAAUCAUAUAUGAAAACCGAUCGUACACGAUGUUAAGGACUCAAUGGAACCAUUGAAAUACGAAUAUGAGGUCUCCUUGACCUAAUAUCCGUGAAAACCACUAGAAACUAACACCACACCUAAAAGACUAACUCAAGCUUGAGACCUCUCAAAAAUCAAUCAAGACCUCAUCCAGGCCUAAAAUUAUCCCCUCAAUGUAAAGGAACUCUCAGAACUUCAAUAUGAGCAUUCGAACCCCAAAUGUUGACCAAAGUCAACCUAAAGGCUAAAUUUUCACAAAAUUCCAACGUAGGACCUCAAAUCCUUAAAAGGACUUCGAAUCUGAAACCAACAACUCUCACUAACUAGAUUCCACAUUCCAAGAUUGAUAGAAUCAAAAGAAUUUCAUUCCGACACUCGAAACACUAAAAGACACCAAAAAUCACUUUCUUAACAAUAUUAACCUUUCAAAUUCAAAAAUUAUAAAAAUAACUACUUUAAACUCAAAGUUCUAAACCAACUUUCAAAACUCAAUUAGAAACAACUCGAGGUCAAUUUCAGGAGGAAAAAUGGUAAAUUCAUGAAACUUUUUAAAAAUGACCAACCGGGUCAUUACAAAGAUUAAUGGAGAAAUACAAGGAUGGAAAGAAGGGCUUACACAUAAUAUUCAUUGACCUUGAAAAAAUCUACGUUGAAGUCUCGAGAAAAGUCCUCUAGAGAUGCCUAGAGGCUAGAGGUAUAUCAGUUACACAUAUUAGGAUGAUGAAGGACAUGUAUGAUGGAGCCAAGACUCAGGUUAGAAUAAUGAGAUGUGACUUAGAGCAAUUUUCAGUUGAUAUGGGGUUACACCAGGGAUCAUCACUUGGCUUGUUCUUACUUUCCUUGGUGAGGGAUGAAUUGACGCGACAUAUUCAAAAUGAGGUGUCAUGGUGUAUUUAUAUGAAGAUGACAUAAUACUAAUUGAUGAGACUUGCAGCGAAGUUAUUAGGUUGGAGGUGUGGAGACAAACGCUGAAGUCUAAAGGGUUCAGGUUUAACAAUACCAAAAUAAAAUAUUUGGAGUGCAAAUUCAGUGAUUUAACGUGUUAGACGGACAUGGAAGUGAGGCUUGAAAUAUAGGCUAUCCUCAAAGAGAGAUAAUUUCAAGUAUCUUGGGUUCUUAAUCUAAAAAAGUGGGAGCAUCGAUGAUGAUGUCACACAUCAUAUUGAUGCGACAUGAAUGAAGUGGAGGCUUGCUUCUAGAGUCUUAUGUGAUAAAAAGUACUAUAAAAAAUCAAAGGUAAGUUCUAUAGAGUGAUAGUUAGACUGGCUUUGUUAUACAAGGCGGGG
This 3396-nucleotide long non-coding RNA is filed under the name Solanum tuberosum (potato). RNAcentral describes it as "long non-coding RNA (STUB_LNC002737)". Lineage: Eukaryota; Viridiplantae; Streptophyta; Magnoliopsida; Solanales; Solanaceae. The record is from RNAcentral.